UGUCAGUACCACACGGGACUGGUUUCGGGUUUUCACAUUUAUUGUUUUGUAGUUUGUUCAUGUAUAGUUUUUCUUAUUAAAAAACCAUGAACUUCAACCACGCUGCGUAUUGGUCUGCCUCUCCUUCGACGGAUGAAGCCCGUUACAGGAGAUCAUCAAAUCAUCCUGACCAGUUCACAAAGACCUCAGAGGUUCCUCCAGGCAAAGAAUGUGAGCUACUGGUCUCCAGACAGACACACAGAGAGUCACCCCAACUGACAGACAGUAUCAGUCAGUCCGGGACAGGUCUGAGAACCAGGACAGCAUCGCUCAGUCACCACGCAUCCUGUGUGUGCAGACACACACCCUACUCUGGACCAACACAGCCAGGAUCCAAACAGCCAUGAAUCUCAGAACCCACAGAGAGAACUAGAGAAGGAGGCAGCUCUGCAGCCCUCAGCCACCCCAGAGGAGACUCAGGGCCCUACACCACCCCCACCAGAUCAUAGCCAUGCUCAGAGCCCUGCACCACCCCCACCAGAUCAUAGCCAGGUUCAGAGCCCUGCACCACCCCCACCAGAUCCUAGCCAGGCUCAUAGCCCUACAUCACCCCCACCAGAUCAUAGCCAGGCUCAUAGCCCUGCACCACCCCCACCAGAUCAUAGCCAGGUUCAUAGCCCUGCACCACCCCCACCAGAUCAUAGCCAGGUUCAUAGCCCUGCACCACCCCCACCAGAUCAUAGCCAGGCUCAGAGCCCUGCACCACCCCCACCAGAUCAUGGCCAGGCUCCGAGCCCUGCACCACCCCCACCAGAUCAUGGCCAGGCUCCGAGCCCUGCACCACCCCCACCAGAUCACAGCCAGGCUCAGAGCCCUACACCACUCCCACCAGAUCACAGCCAGGCUCAGAGCCCUACACCACUCCCACCAGAUCACAGCCAGGCUCAGAGCCCUACACCACUCCCACCAGAUCACAGCCAGGCUCAGAGCCCUACACCACUCCCACCAGAUCAUAACCAGGCUCAGAGCCCUACACCACUCCCACCAGAUCAUAACCAGGCUCAGAGCCCUACACCACUCCCACCAGAUCACAGCCAGGCUCCGAGCCCUGCACCACCCCCACCAGAUCAUGGCCAGGCUCAGCCCUGCACCACUCCCACCAGAUCACAGCCAGGCUCAGAGCCCUACACCACUCCCACCAGAUCACAACCAGGCUCAGAGCCCUACACCACUCCCACCAGAUCAUAGCCAGGCUCAGAGCCCUGCACCACCCCCCACCAGAUCAUAGCCAGGCUCCGAGCCCUGCACCACCCCCACCAGAUCAUGGCCAGGCUCCGAGCCCUGCACCACUCCCACCAGAUCACAGCCAGGCUCAGAGCCCUACACCACUCCCACCAGAUCACAACCAGGCUCAGAGCCCUACACCACUCCCACCAGAUCAUAGCCAGGCUCAGAGCCCUGCACCACCCCCACCAGAUCAUAGCCAGGCUCAGAGCCCUGCACCACCUUAGAGGUACAGCUGGAGCAGCUCCAGAAAACAGACACAGCUCUUCAGACAUACAGACAGAUGAAAUAAUCUCCCAUGGCAGACAGGUCCAGCAGCAGAGGAACACACGCCCACUGAACACUGUCUCACAAAAUCUACUCAUUGGACUACAUUAAAUCAUUAUGCACUUCCAUUUUUUAAAUUAAAGAACACAUUCCAUAUUGCUUCUAGACAAUGAGAAUAAGCAGCCUGGUUUCAUAGACUAGACGUAACAGAGUACAUGCAAUUUUUAAUUUAAAAAAAAUGUAUUUCACCUUUAUUUAACCAGUUAAGCUAGUUGAGAACAAGUUCUCAUUUACAACUGCGACCUGGCCAAGAUAAAGCAAAUCAGUGCGACACAAACAACAACACAGAGUUACACAUGGAAUAAACAAGCAUACAGUCAACACAAUAGAAAAAAAGAAAGUCUAUAUACAGUCUGCAAAUGGCGUGAGGAGGUAAGGCACUAAAUAGGCCACAGUAGCGAAGUAAUUACAAUUUAGCAGAUUAACACUGGAGUGAUAAAUGAGCAGAUGAUGAUGUCAAGUAGUGUGCAAAAGAGCAGAAAAGUAAAUAAAAACAAUAUGGGUAUGAUGUAGGUAGAUUCGGUGGGCUAUUUACAGAUGGGCUAUGUACAGCUGCAGCGAACGGUUAGCUACUCAGAUAGCUG
Long non-coding RNA from Oncorhynchus tshawytscha (Chinook salmon), 2174 nucleotides. The record is from Ensembl. Lineage: Eukaryota; Metazoa; Chordata; Actinopteri; Salmoniformes; Salmonidae.